UGGAUCUUUUGUUUCAUGCUGAAUUAUUAUUCUUGGGUGACUUGUAGAUAUCUUAGUUCAUAUCCCACACGGAUUAGACUUGUGUUUAUAUUCUUUAUAAAUAUUAACGUGCAGCACUCGCUCUUUUCAUGAAGGGCAGUCCGCCUCGUGGAUCGAUUUUGGAGUCAUAAGUUAAUGUUUCCUUCUCGGCCAUUAAUGAAUGGGACCCUUCAGCAAGCCUGGCGGUUGCUGCCUUGAGUCGAUAUCUUCCCAGUCCAAGCAUUAGAGGUAAGAUUUUGGGUAUUUAGUAGAAGAAGAUGCGAAUGUCUGACCUCUUGUGUGCCCCCCCUGUUUUUCACCUUUUUGUUAGGACUAGGAGUAGGAAAUACAUGGAGAAAAGAGGGACGGGGGGUGCUGGGAACUGGAAGGAAGUAGAAGGAAAUGUGCACUCGAGAGUACUCAUGAAAACUAAAAACUAAAAAUGAAAACAAUUUGGUAGGUUUUCUUUAUCUAGUUUUUGUUUCUUUCGUUCUCCUUCAUUUCUCUCUCUUCCCGCCCUCCUCACUCCAAUUUUAUCUAGUUUUUGUUUCUUUCAUUCUCUUUCAUUUCUCUCUCCUCCCACCCUCCUCACUCCAAGCAUUUCCUCUAUCUCUAUCAAGAAAAUUAAAACUACAUAUGAAAUAGUUAUCAAACGAACCUUUCGUUGAAUACUUAAUAGGUUGUUAACACAAAUCAAAUAGAGUUUGAAUACAUGUAAAGCUAUCUCCUAUAAUUGAGGAAUACGUACAUUUCCAAUGUGCAUUUGAAAAUGUGCACUAAUCACAAUUGCUCUUGCACGUUAGGGAUUUGAGGUAAUGGGAAAAUAACCAACCCUCCAUGAUACAUGGGAGUUGGCUGCCAUUGCCGCUAUAAGUACAAGAAUUCCCUGCUCACAGAUAUAGUGUUAUGCGAUAUAGGAUCUAUCACUAUAUGAAUAUAAAGGUCUCCUAGCUAGUAGAAGAAGUUCUUGGGUUGCAACAAUGUCUUCAAUAGGUAAGUGUUCUAGUCCUAUACCUCAAUAUGUGAUUUAGGGUUCAUGUUGUUGAAUUAGUGGCCAAGUGGCCAAAAGCAUAUAAUAAAAAAUUAUGGACAUAAUGAUGUGGAAACAUCAUUAUGAGGAGACAAAUGAUUAUGUUUCCUUUUGUUUUGGCUUUUUCAAAGGUAGAAAAUUCAGCUUUUGUCCCUCACUUGUUGCCUUUUUGGAAAUGAGAAAAACGGAAGGAGAGUUGUGAAAGGUGCAGAAAAUAGUUGUAAAAGGUGCAGAAAAUAGAGAGCAUUUUCUGAAGGUAGUUGUAGAGUGCACCAGAAAAACAGAGAAGAAAAAAUAGAAGUGCAGCAGCCCCUCUUUGAAGAGAAGAAGAAAGUGCUCAUCUCUUUGGUUAGUAAUCAUCCACCAAGGUAGUUGUUGUUGUAAUAGCUUUGAGCUUUGUAUAGAGAGGAAAUUAUUCAUUAUAUUUCUCUCUAUUUGUUUCUUUGGUGUGUGAGAGCUAUUGGUUGUAUUGGGGUUUGGGUUGUGAGCUUACCAACACUUUGUAAACUUCCAUUUGGUUGAUAGUGGAUUAUUGGGUGAGCUCCUACUGCUCCGAGGACGUACUCCAGUUACACUGACUGUUGAGGAACCUCGUUAAAAUCUUGGUGUCUUUUAUAUUUUGUUCUUGCAUUCCAUUUGAUAUAUUUCCUAUGGGUUAGCUUGAGUUGGUUCCAACGGGUUUGGUGCUAUCCUAGCACAACACAUGUUAAGAUCAUAUGAGUUCCAACACAAGGUUGUACUGAAUUUCUCAAUCAAUAUUAAGAGUUUGCCCACUGAUAGUCUCCCUAAUAUUAUGUGUUCAAUAUCUAGGGUUCAUUCACCCUCCAGCGUUGGAACAUCAUUUUUAUCUGAUUACAACCCGCUGAUUGAUAUGAUUAAGUUCAGUACCUUGUGUGUAUCAUUUCUUUUAGUUGAUUGAGUUGUUAGAAAAAGUGAAAAUUACUGAUAGUGGUUUGCCACUAUGCUCCUAAAUGUAUCAGGAAAAGAAAGGAGUGGGAUGUAUACGAACCCAUCGUUGAUCUUCUAUCUACCGUGGAAGUGGAGGCCCUUGAAGUGAAAGAAGAAAGGAUUGCUCGGUGAAUUAUAAAACAGCUGCGAUGGUUUAAAUUAAGUUGUGUAGGGUGUAAGAACCAUGUUGAGUUGUCCAGUGUUGUGUUUCGAAUCACAGUUAGAAGGAUGUUACUUGCAUGGCAAGUAAUCAGCCUUCAAUGUGAUUAGCUGAUUGAUUGGCAUGCAUCGUGGAAUUGUUAGCUCAUUAGUUGACUAUUGGAAAGACCUAAUUAAGGAAGACCUAAUUAAGGAAGAUAUCACGUACAUGCCUUGGUAGGACAAUAUGAUACGCCCCGAUCCCGAUAUUCCCCGAAUACCAGGAUAGGCACGUGCUGGCCGACACCCGAGGGUGACGAAAGCCAUUUAUUGAUGCAAUUGCUGAAAAUAAAGGAUAACUAAGACUUAUAAAUAUAAAAGAAUAAGCAUUUAAGGAACGUGUUCAAAGCAUACGACUAACUAGAAUACUAAAAAAAACGAUAUAAAAUUUGAUGAACAAAAGAAUGGGUCCCACACCAAAAGAACUCGAAGACGCCGAUGCGGAAGUGCCUGGAUGCGGAAGUGCCUGAAGGGGGCGCAAAACAAACAUGAGUGGACCAAGUUGAUAUAUAUAUAUAAUAAAACAGUUAUCAACGUACUAACCCCCAGGUUUAUGAAAACACAUAUAUAAUGAUAAACGUAUGUUUUCCGAAACCUAGCAUGAUGUGCAGUAUCUCAAAUCAUAACUCAUAUAUAAUAAUCACUAGUGAAUUGUCCGAUAACCCCCAGGCCCCAUGCCGGCUCCCAAUCUCUGAGCAGACAGUCAGAGGAAAAUACACUUCAGGCCCCAUGCCAGCUCCCCGUCCCUGUGCUAAAUAGCCAGAGGAAACACACUUCAGGCCCUAUGCCAACACCAAACCGUCGCCCGGGACGGACCGGAAUCUAUCCCUACGUCCCGUAGCGGAAAUGACCACUAGGUAAGUACAAAACCAUUGAACAUAUAUAUAUUGAAAAACAACUUCAGAGUAUAAAGUCAUCCAUCAUCUAUACUAUAAAGAGGUGUUCGAAACUUGUUCUAGUAUCAUAUCGUCAUCCAUCAGAUAUUCUAUAAGAACACGGGUUAUAGGAAAAAUAGUAAUAAUUCAAAGUAGCCUCAGUAAGCAUGUUAUCUCACAAAACAUUUCAUAAAACGUAAUCAUCAAAUCAUGCUUUUCAUGUAUGCAUUUCUACUAUUAAAACAUGUAUUUAAGAAGGGGUCCACUCACAGUACUUAGUUGCCAAAAGUUGCGCCACUAGCGAAGACAGAACGUCACAAUAAUUGCCCCUAAGCACAUAAAUGGUACAAUAAAUAAAACUAUAUAAUAGAAAUUGAAUUUGGGAAAACGGACAUUGGAAACGGAUCCAGAACGUCGAAUUACCCUAAGAAGGGUUUGAAUUAAAUAAAAUAGGGAAUUUGGAAUUGAAUGGGUUUAGGGUUUUAAAGGAUUUGGGUUAUAAAGGGUUUAGGGUGAAAAUGGGUGAUUUGGGCCUAAGCCCAAACACACACACGCACCACACAAACACACACAUGCACGGCAUGCACAUGCAUGCAAGCAUGCAUAUCACACACGUACACAUGCACUUAUACACACACACACAAACCACAAAGGCCUUAAGGCCUCACACAAGGACCGGGCUUUAAGCCCUUUCACUCAAAACCGGCCCAAGGCCCUUUGGGUUGCUGAAAAUAAAUAAUUAAAUAGAAUAAAAACGGGCUGGGCUAGGCAGGGAAGGCCCAAAGCCUUGGGUUUUGGUGGGUCGCCGGAUCCAAUGGGAGAGAAGGCCGGAAAUUCGAUAAUAGGAAGUAUUGGUAGAAACUCUUAGGGGGUGUUUGUUUUCCCUCACUAAAGUUCACUGGACUGGACUGGACUAAAGGUUAGUCCAGUCCCGUGUUUGUUUCCCAUAGGGCUUAGAGUUAAUGAGACUAGCUCUCACUCGUCCCGACUAAAACAGGGCCUAGCCGGUCUUUGCUAAGCCCCCCAAAAACCAUGGGAUUGCUAAUCCCGUCUCCAGAACUUGCAUAGGACGAUCGCAUGCAGCAAGUCUUAUGAACUACAAAUUUGCAAGAAUGCUUCUGGGCGACUCCGUUUGCCAACCCAUGUCUAGAUCUAAAACACAGCCCUACCCACUGCCUAAAUCUCAACACCAAAAUUCAAAAACAUAUAUGCAAAACGAUAACAACAACAAUCCCAAUAGCAAAAUUCUUCCUUAUUCCCG
This 4330-nucleotide long non-coding RNA is filed under the name Malus domestica (apple). RNAcentral describes it as "long non-coding RNA (MDOM_LNC016154)". Lineage: Eukaryota; Viridiplantae; Streptophyta; Magnoliopsida; Rosales; Rosaceae. The record is from RNAcentral.